CACGCUGUAAACGAUGAGUGCUAGGUGUAGGGGGUAUCGAAACCCUCUGUGCCGCAGUAAACGCAAUAAGCACUCCGCCUGGGGAGUACGGUCGCAAGACUAAAACUCAAAGGAAUUGACGGGGGCCCGCACAAGCAGCGGAGCAUGUGGUUUAAUUCGAAGCAACGCGAAGAACCUUACCAGGUCUUGACAUCGUCUGCAUAGUCUGGAGACAGAUGAAACCCUUCGGGGCAGAAUGACAGGUGG
RNAcentral lists this ribosomal RNA (246 nucleotides) under uncultured bacterium. RNAcentral's name for it is "partial 16S ribosomal RNA". It matches the Rfam family "Bacterial small subunit ribosomal RNA", at positions 796 to 1041 of the family's 1533-position model. The record is from RNAcentral.